GACGAACGCUGGCGGCGUGCUUAACACAUGCAAGUCGAACGGUGAACCGCUUUCGGGUGGGGAUCAGUGGCGAACGGGUGAGUAACACGUGAGUAACCUGCCCUUCACUCUGGGAUAACUCCGGGAAACCGGGGCUAAUACUGGAUACGACCUACUCGGGCAUCCGAUGUGGGUGGAAAGAUUUAUCGGUGAGGGAUGGACUCGCGGCCUAUCAGCUUGUUGGUGAGGUAAUGGCUCACCAAGGCGACGACGGGUAGCCGGCCUGAGAGGGCGAUCGGCCACACUGGGACUGAGACACGGCCCAGACUCCUACGGGAGGCAGCAGUGGGGAAUAUUGCACAAUGGGCGAAAGCCUGAUGCAGCGACGCCGCGUGAGGGAUGAAGGCCUUCGGGUUGUAAACCUCUUUCAGCAGGGAAGAAGCGAAAGUGACGGUACCUGCAGAAGAAGCACCGGCUAACUACGUGCCAGCAGCCGCGGGUAUACGUAAGGUGCAAAGCGUUGUCCGGAAUAUUGGGCGUAAAGAGCUUGUAGGCG
This 535-nucleotide ribosomal RNA is filed under the name uncultured bacterium. RNAcentral describes it as "bacterial SSU rRNA". It matches the Rfam family "Bacterial small subunit ribosomal RNA", at positions 28 to 577 of the family's 1533-position model. The record is from RNAcentral.